GGGAGGGAGAUGAGAGUGGAGUUCAUUAGCCAGUGAGGUAGAGAGGAAGGGAGGGUAGAUCGCCAGCCUUCUGGAAGGGUCUGUGGAACCAGGUCACCUGUUACCCAGAGCCACAAUCCCAAUUCCAAUAACCUACGCCCCCUUCUGGGCUUGAAGGCUAAAAACUGUUGCCCAGGACCUUUUCAAGUUGUUAGUUUUGGGAGGGAGGAGGCUCAGAAGGAGCAAGCCAGGUGAAGACCCCCACAUCCCUGGCCGCUCCAUUCAGAGCCUGGCAGCAGCAUAAGAACAAACCAGGUCAUAACCCUGCUUGGGAGAAGCCUGAGUCAACAGCAUCCCUCCUCCCAGCUGGCUUCACCCUAGAUGUGGGUCCUCCAGGCACUCGGCUUUCUGAACAAGAAUACUGACGGCUGGAGAACAACGGGAAUGGUGAGCGCGAUACUAAGGGAAGAGGGCUUGCAGCAGGUGCCUAACCCAGACUCCCCCAUUUGGCCCUAAAAUCCCAUCUGGAACAUCUGUGUCUCCCUCGAUGCCACCGCCAUUACCUCUUUCCUUGUUGAUAAGUGUGUUCUGCUUGGAGGUUAUUAUAAGAGUUGUUUUUUCCUCUAAUGAAUACUCACCAACUCAAGCUCAUCUAUUUCAGCUGGCUAGAUGCAAGUGUCCCUUGAUUAAUGGACCUGUCAGCUCGAUAAACUGAUAUCAUACAACAAUG
Molecule: long non-coding RNA, 709 nt
Organism: Erinaceus europaeus (western European hedgehog)
Lineage: Eukaryota; Metazoa; Chordata; Mammalia; Eulipotyphla; Erinaceidae
Exons: 3
Source: RefSeq, a predicted model, not a curated record